This 128-nucleotide ribosomal RNA is filed under the name Bacillus amyloliquefaciens. RNAcentral's name for it is "partial 16S ribosomal RNA". It matches the Rfam family "Bacterial small subunit ribosomal RNA", at positions 1 to 124 of the family's 1533-position model. Lineage: Bacteria; Bacillati; Bacillota; Bacilli; Caryophanales; Bacillaceae. The record is from RNAcentral. RNAcentral also lists the same sequence under 1 other name.
UUUAUCGGAGAGUUUGAUCCUGGCUCAGGACGAACGCUGGCGGCGUGCCUAAUACAUGCAAGUCGAGCGGACAGAUGGGAGCUUGCUCCCUGAUGUUAGCGGCGGACGGGUGAGUAACACGUGGGUAA